CCUACGGGAGGCAGCAGUGGGGAAUAUUGGGCAAUGGGCGCAAGCCUGACCCAGCAACGCCGCGUGAAGGAAGAAGGCUCUCGGGUUGUAAACUUCUUUUAUCAGGGACGAAGCAAGUGACGGUACCUGAUGAAUAAGCCACGGCUAACUACGUGCCAGCAGCCGCGGUAAUACGUAGGUGGGAAGCGUUAUCCGGAUUUACUGGGUGUAAAGGGCGUGUAGGCGGGAAAGCAAGUCAGAUGUGAAAACCAUGGGCUCAACCUGUGGCCUGCAUUUGAAACUGUUUUUCUUGAGUACUGGAGAGGCAGACGGAAUUCCUAGUGUAGCGGGGAAAUGCGUAGAUAUUAGGAGGAACACCAGUGGCGAAGGCGGUCUGCUGGACAGCAACUGACGCUGAGGCGCGAAAGCGUGGGGAGCAAACAAGAUUAGAUACCCCAGUAGUC
RNAcentral lists this ribosomal RNA (443 nucleotides) under uncultured bacterium. Its description in RNAcentral is "partial 16S ribosomal RNA". It matches the Rfam family "Bacterial small subunit ribosomal RNA", at positions 338 to 795 of the family's 1533-position model. The record is from RNAcentral.